UACGGAGGGUGCUAGCGUUGGUCGGAAUCACUGGGCGUAAAGGGCGUGUAGGCGGUCUGUUAAGUCUGAUGUGAAAUCCCCGAGCUCAACUCGGGAACUGCGUCCGAUACUGGUGGGCUUGAAUCCGGGAGAGGGAUGCGGAAUUCCAGGUGUAGCGGUGAAAUGCGUAGAUAUCUGGAGGAACACCGGUGGCGAAGGCGGCAUCCUGGACCGGCAUUGACGCUGAGGCGCGAAAGCUAGGGGAGCAAACGGG
This 253-nucleotide ribosomal RNA is filed under the name uncultured bacterium. RNAcentral describes it as "partial 16S ribosomal RNA". It matches the Rfam family "Bacterial small subunit ribosomal RNA", at positions 524 to 776 of the family's 1533-position model. The record is from RNAcentral.